GAGACGCCUUAAGCCUUGGACAGAAAAAUAACACUUCCCCAAAAUCCAGUCCAGCCUGAAGCUGGAAAGCCUUGCUCUUAAAUGACAAAGCUCGCAGUGGGAAAACUGGAAAGAUUGAAUGUCCUUUGGAGUUCACAGAGGUUUGGCAGUGGGAGGAGAAAAACAAAACGAAGCAUAGUGGGAGUGUUGAACAGACUUUCCCAAGAUCCCCAGAUCCUGAAAUUCAAGAAAAUCUUUGUCAAAGUGUUAGCUGAGUGCAAGCUAAGGUAUCCAAAUAGUGAAUACACACACCAAGGAAUAAUCUUUGCAAAAAUACUUUGUCUCAAGGCAAAUAGAACACAAUAGACUUUAAUAAUCAAAACAGAAACACCAACAUAGAGAACCUAAGGAAUGAAGAGAAUCUGAUUUCCAAAGUCACCACGUUAUAAAAAUCAAAUGCCAAUCUUCAACAACAACAAAACAACAAAAUUCACAAGGCACACAAAGAAACAGGAAAAUGGCUCAUUCAAAGGAAUAAAAUGAUUAAUUGGCAUAAACUGUUCCUGAGAAAG
RNAcentral lists this long non-coding RNA (551 nucleotides) under Pongo abelii (Sumatran orangutan). RNAcentral's name for it is "lincRNA". Lineage: Eukaryota; Metazoa; Chordata; Mammalia; Primates; Hominidae. The record is from RNAcentral.